Molecule: transfer RNA, 72 nt
Filed under: Heterocephalus glaber (naked mole-rat)
Lineage: Eukaryota; Metazoa; Chordata; Mammalia; Rodentia; Bathyergidae
Rfam family: tRNA
About the family: Transfer RNA (tRNA) molecules are approximately 80 nucleotides in length. Their secondary structure includes four short double-helical elements and three loops (D, anti-codon, and T loops). Further hydrogen bonds mediate the characteristic L-shaped molecular structure. tRNAs have two regions of fundamental functional importance: the anti-codon, which is responsible for specific mRNA codon recognition, and the 3' end, to which the tRNAs corresponding amino acid is attached (by aminoacyl-tRNA synthetases). tRNAs cope with the degeneracy of the genetic code in two manners: having more than one tRNA (with a specific anti-codon) for a particular amino acid; and 'wobble' base-pairing, i.e. permitting non-standard base-pairing at the 3rd anti-codon position.
Source: Rfam by way of RNAcentral
GGGGAUGUAGCUCAGUGAGAGAGUGCUUGCCUAGCAUGCAUAAGGCCCUGGGUUCAAUCCACAGCAUGCCAA